AUGGCGAGGCCCUCGAGCGACAGGUCCCCAGCCCCACAGCUGCUGGGCGGCCCAGCGGGAGGCGCGGCGCUGCAUGGCCUGCGAAGCCUCCUGCAGGGGCCCGGGAAGACCAAGGAGCUGCCGGCCAGCUGUGAGUGUCCCGCGGCGGGACCCAGGCGUCCCCUCCUCCCCGGGACCCCAGCGGCUAUGGGCGGGCGGGGGUCGGGAGCUCACAAGGCUUGGACACGGGCCGGGGCGGAGCUUCCCGGGGUCACAUGGGGCCGCGGGCGGGAGACGGGGCGGAGCCCUCCCCUGGCCCUGCCUGCUGGUUUGUGCCCCUUCUGGGGCCAGGACCUAGCCAGAGGCUGGGGGCGCAAAGGGGAGGGCACGGACCCUGGGGUGGAUGCAAAGGGCCCUGGGGAGUCUAGGUCGGAAACCGCUGACUCUGUUCUUGCCCUUCCCUCUGUCUCCCCCUUGGGUGUCUUUCCCUGCUCCCUGCCUCGACCUCUCGGUGCCGCCGCCCCCCCCCCCCUCCGCCCCCUGUGCCUGUCCGGCUCCCUUUUCGGGCUUUCCUGCGUCCCCGCAUGCAUCCUCAACCGUCUCCCCCCCCCCGUGCUGCCCGGCUCCUCUGUGCCACCCUCCGCCUCUCCCUGCCCCCGUCUCGUGCUGGACACCCCAUGGAUUGCCCCGCCCCGUACUUUCCCCCAACCGUCUUGGGUCUCUCCGGUGUCCCCAACUCGCUGUCUGGGCCCUCUCUGCAUCACCUGCAUUUGUCUCACCUUCUGCCCCCACUCCUGCCCCGCCCCGCGAAUCUCUCACUCUAUGCGUCUCACUGUGCAUCUCACUGCUCCUGUUUGUGUGUGUCCCACUGUGUCUGCGUGUGCCCUGCUGCCCGUAUGCCCCGCUCUGCGUGUGACCCGUGCGCCCCGCUGCCGGUUGCUCCGCUCUGUGUGCGCCCCCCUGCUCGUGUGCCUCGCUGCGUCCCGCCCCCGUCCGCCCCGUCUUGUCCGUCUCUCCGCCAGGUCUCCUGAAGGAGAAGGAGCGCAAGGCGGUGGCCAGCGGCAGUGA
RNAcentral lists this long non-coding RNA (1047 nucleotides) under Phascolarctos cinereus (koala). Its description in RNAcentral is "lncRNA (ENSPCIG00000036187.1)". Lineage: Eukaryota; Metazoa; Chordata; Mammalia; Diprotodontia; Phascolarctidae. The record is from RNAcentral.